Molecule: long non-coding RNA, 1517 nt
Filed under: Dromaius novaehollandiae (emu)
Lineage: Eukaryota; Metazoa; Chordata; Aves; Casuariiformes; Dromaiidae
Description: lncRNA (ENSDNVG00000012026.1)
Source: RNAcentral
CCCCGGCCUUGGCCCCCUUCCAGGCAGCAGGAAACCGGCCGCCAGCAGUGCUGGUGUAUUCCUGCCUGCAUUCCUGCCUGUUCCCGUACUCCCGCGUGUGUGACCUGCGUUCGGGUCCCGGCACGGUCGCUCCUCUCCGUGGCCGUUCCCGUGGCCGCGGUGCCCCGGACCAAGGCGCGAGGAGCCGUUCACGGCGGCCGGCGUCGCCUGCAGCCGCGCAGCGCGGCACAGCGGGGACAAGGGGGUCUGUCCCUCUCUCCCCCAGCUCUCAAGGGUGGGAUGCUCCAUCCUUAACGUGACCACGUCCCUGCUGCCGCCGGCACCCUCGGGGACGGCCCUGGGCGCUGCCCGUCCGCGCGCCCGGAGACCCCGAAGCUGCUGCCRGAGCCUGGCCCGGGACUGCCUCGUGCGGCCCUUCCGCGUUCGGCUGCGCAAGCAGCGUGUUUGGAGAGACGGGUCGAGCUCACCGCGGACGCCAGCAGCCCCCGCGGAGGAAGCGGGGUCCCUGCGCGGGUGAAAAACUGCUUGAAAGGGGCUGGGAGCAGCGGCUGCCUCUGGCUGACGAGGAAGGUCGGUGGCUGCGGGGUUUGCGGGGGUCUGUGCUGGGCUCUGAGCUAUGCGGCACCUCCACAAAGGACCUGGAAAAGGGAAGCAAUACAGAGUUUUGCUCACGGCAUGGAGCAGCAACGCAGGGCAGGACAGAAGAGGGGCAAGUCCGAGGAACYGCAGAGGAACCCUCUGCGAUGAGCACCUGGGCGGUAACACAGCGAAGGCAGUUGGGCAGYGCUGAGCGGAGGACGCUGCCCGCGGGGAAUGUCCCUGCCGUCUCAGCAGUCCGUCAGCGCUCCGCAGCGAGACCACGGGACGGUGAAAAACCUCCCUGGGAGCCAUCAGCCGAGAUUACAAUGAAAACGUGGAGAAAGCUGUGGCUCUGGAAUGAGAAAUUCUGUAUUUGAUGAGGAGUCGUCGUCACCAGAAGCUACUUCUAUGAGAUCUAUCGCUUCUCGAGUUCCCUGCAUUGAAGCAUGUUUUAUUGAUGCUGCUKAAUGCUAAUUUCCUGGUGGAAUACCGUGUGGUGUGUUCCCGGUGUCAAUCAGUACACGUUACACCGAGGCAGCUACAUUCAUCAGCCCAAACUUCCAUCRGAGCUGUUUUCCACAGAGCAGUGUUGAUAGGUGUUAAUUAUCUCCGUAGUCUUUUAAGUCUUYGGUUAUAAAUUCUAGCUUGCACGAGCUGCAUUUUGGCGUGAUUUUAGCACUGUUSCUGCCUGCCAGGUUUCCUCAGGCAUUGAAAAGUGUCUCCAGUGCGGGCCCAGCAGAUCGAACGGGAAAAUUGCCCGUUCUGCUGCGCUCCUGGAUGUCGCUGCAGCAGGGAAGGUUAAUGCGGAGCAGACAUCCAGCUUGGUGGUACCCGAAGUUGUUUCCCGUGUUGCGACCAGGCAGGUGCGUUGGUCUCUGCAGCGCGAGGACGUACGGUGAUGGUGUCCGGGGUCAGACGGGCACGGAGGUGUUGCCCCG